CAGAGUUAUCUAACUCCCAAACCCAUGUGAACUUACCAUUUGUUGCCUCGGCAGAGCCUACCCGGUAACUGUUCGGAGAAGCUACCCUGUAGCUACCCUGUAACGGCCUACCCUGUAACGUCCUGCCGGUGGACCUUUAAACUCUUGUUAUUUUAUAGUAAUCUGAGCGUCUUAUUUUAAUAAGUCA
RNAcentral lists this unclassified non-coding RNA (187 nucleotides) under uncultured fungus. RNAcentral describes it as "sequence contains ITS1, 5.8S rRNA gene". Lineage: Eukaryota; Fungi. The record is from RNAcentral.